Molecule: ribosomal RNA, 49 nt
Filed under: Cystoisospora felis
Lineage: Eukaryota; Apicomplexa; Conoidasida; Eucoccidiorida; Sarcocystidae
Also listed under: 1 other name
Description: large subunit ribosomal RNA
Source: RNAcentral
GGACUCCUUAACUUAAACUGAGGAGUCAAGUAGGUACGAACCGUACAAG